UUGAAGUUAAUUCCGAAGAAUUUUAGUUUUGUUAUUAUAUAGGUUUACGGAAAUUACAUUAUUAAGUUCUGCAUUACAUUAUUAAGUUCUGCAUCCAUGCAUUGGGACUUAGGCCCUGCAUUACAUAUUUUACAUUGCUUAAUUUUAUUAGAAAGCAGAGGUAAUGGACGAUCACGCUUCGGCCUUUCCAACUCUGCAAUCCUUUAUGAACACAAAGGCCUUUGCGUUCUCUGUGAGAACCAAACGCCUAUAUCCACUUUCAUUGACGAUGCCUACAUUAUGGCAAGUAAACGUCUCUCCAUAAGGACAGAACACUAGCUUAUACGAGCUCCCGAGAGACUUAAUUUGAAACCAGCUGUUAACGUCGAGGGGAUUUGCCAACUUUGCACCUGUGCUUAUAGUGUAGUGCUCCGCGGGUUUAGGGUAGUGGUCGACUUUCCACACGGUUAGGUUAGCACACUUUAUAUAAUCAAGAUAGAAAUUGAUGUUUAACGAAGCAGACUCCACAAUCUGCUGAUGUUUGGGCUCUUUAGGUUUAAAAUAAACGGCGAUACCUUCGUCGGUAUCACGAGGGGAUUGCACAACUGAUGUGAGACAAGUGUUUUCUUCUUGACCUCCGAGAUUAGCAAGGCGCACACCACCACCGCCGGCACCGUUGAAGGCCGAAACAAUAAAGUAUCUAGCGUUUUUGUCGAGGGGAUGACCCUUCAAAUCUUUUACAACUCUCAAUAGUUGAUUGGGAAUAUCAGUAGAGCAAGUUGCCAAGGCUGAAAAGGGAAGGAAUGCAAGGGAAAGAAAGAGUAAGACGGUCUUCAUCUUUUGUUUCUUGGGUUGGAUUUAUGGAAUUUAAUUUGUUUUGGAUGCUUUAUUGCUCUUGCUUACCUCUUGAAUUUAUAGAGGAGAUGUACCAUGAUUUUGCUCUAGUGUGAACCACGUGGGUUUAAUUGUGGCAUUAUUGGUGCGAUCUUUUAUUGUACUAAAAUUGUGGGAAAUUAAAGAGAAGCUAUUCAUAAAAUAUUAGGGAGGUUUUAGACCUUCUUGGCCUUUAACAAUGUUGAAUUUAAGAAAAUAUCUUUUUUAGAUCUCUUAUGUGUAACUAAAAUAUGAGAGCUGCGAAGAUCUAAUAAGAAAAGAAAAGUUUCUUGUAUUUGUUCGCUGAACCUAGUAAGUUUACAGUAAGUAAGUUAUAGAUAUGUAAUGAAAUACUUAAUACAUAUAAUAUAUAGAGUUUGAGCAAAAAGUAAUGAAUUCACCUAAAUUUAUUGCGUAUUCACCAUUGAGUACAUGAGAUAGGGAACUUAAUUAUGUCUAAGUUUUUUUUGGUUUUCCAUCAUCAGUAUCCGCAUUGGGGUUGGACUAAAUCUAAAUUUGUAUUGAGAAGCCUCAUAUUGAGAGAGUAAAGUGCUCCCUAAGGAUACUCUAUAUAUGUAGGGUUCGAACUCGAAAUCUAUGGUUAAAGAUGAAAAAGUAUUUAUCACUCUACACAACUUUUGAUGAUAAUUAUGUUUAAGUUAUCUACCCAAAAAGAAGAAGAAAAAAUUGUGUAAAAAAAGUGAGUCACUACCAACAUGAUACAUCCCGACAUUUCUUGGAAUAAAAACGAAAUUCCAACAAAACAAACGAAUAAAGGCGAAGACACUACUAGAAAUUCGGCAAAAACCGAUCAAGGUCGACCGACCAAUUUUGAUCGGUCAAAAAAACCAACCAAAAAAUCGAUCAAAGUUGGUCGGUUUUUUAAAAUAUUUUACUUUUUAAUUUUAUUUUACGAAACCGACCAAUUUAGGUCGGUUUUCUUUAGCGCAAAAAUCCGGAAAACUAUUUUUGAGUCCCGCGAAAUUUAUUUUUCAAGAAACCGAUCAAAUUUGAUCGAUUUUUCAAUUAAAAUAAAUAAAAAUUAAUAUUAAAAAAACCGACCAAAAUUGGUCGGUUAAUUCGGCCGGUCAUUUAAAACAACCGACCAACUUUGGUCGGUAAUUUUACUUUUUAAUAAAACCGACCAACUUUUAUGUUUGGGCUCUUUAGGUUUAAAAUAAACCGCGAUACCAUCGUCAGUUGCACAACUGAUGUGGGACAAGUGUUUUCUUCUUGACCUCCGAGAUUAGCAAGGCGCACACCACCACCGCCGGCACCGUUGAAGGCCGU
RNAcentral lists this long non-coding RNA (2142 nucleotides) under Nicotiana tabacum (common tobacco). Its description in RNAcentral is "long non-coding RNA (NTAB_LNC015421)". Lineage: Eukaryota; Viridiplantae; Streptophyta; Magnoliopsida; Solanales; Solanaceae. The record is from RNAcentral.